Molecule: unclassified non-coding RNA, 379 nt
Filed under: uncultured Bryobacterales bacterium
Lineage: Bacteria; Pseudomonadati; Acidobacteriota; Terriglobia; Bryobacterales
Description: contains 16S-23S intergenic spacer region
Source: RNAcentral
UCCAACUUAUCGCUGGCGGUCUCCUGCGAGUUCCUUCCUUUCGGAUAUGGCAACACAGGACAAGGGUUGCGCUCGUUGCGGGACUUAACCCAACAUCUCACGACACGAGCUGACGACAGCCAUGCAGCACCUCGACCCCACUCCCUUGCGGGAUAACCGUGUUUCCACGAUCGUUAAGAGGCCGUUCGAGCCCAGGUAAGGUUCUUCGCGUUGCGUCGAAUUGAACCACAUGCUCCACCGCUUGUGCGGGCCCCCGUCAAUUCCUUUGAGUUUCGGCCUUGCGACUGUACUCCCCAGGCGGCACAUUUAACGCGUUAGCUCCGGCACGGACAGAAUGAACUGCCCACACCAAAUGUGCAUCGUUUAGGGCGUGGACUAC